RNAcentral lists this transfer RNA (92 nucleotides) under Herbivorax alkaliphila. RNAcentral's name for it is "tRNA-Ser". It matches the Rfam family "tRNA". From Rfam's summary of the family: Transfer RNA (tRNA) molecules are approximately 80 nucleotides in length. Their secondary structure includes four short double-helical elements and three loops (D, anti-codon, and T loops). Lineage: Bacteria; Bacillati; Bacillota; Clostridia; Acetivibrionales; Acetivibrionaceae. The record is from RNAcentral.
GGAGAGAUGGCUGAGCUGGCUGAAGGCGCACGACUGGAACUCGUGUGUACGUUAAUAGCGUACCGAGGGUUCGAAUCCCUCUCUCUCCGCCA